GAAUGAUCCAAGUGCAGCAGUGUUUACAACUAAAUUGAUCACAAGCAGUUAGAUUUUCUUGUUCCUUCUCCACUUCCACUGUUGCAUUUGACUAGACUUAA
RNAcentral lists this non-coding RNA (101 nucleotides) under Nomascus leucogenys (northern white-cheeked gibbon). The record is from RNAcentral. Lineage: Eukaryota; Metazoa; Chordata; Mammalia; Primates; Hylobatidae.